GCCCAGAUAGCUCAGUUGGUAGAGCAGCGCACUGAAAAUCCGCGUGUCGCUGGUUCGAUUCCGGCUCUGGGCA
This 73-nucleotide transfer RNA is filed under the name Lachnospiraceae bacterium. RNAcentral describes it as "tRNA-Phe". It matches the Rfam family "tRNA". From Rfam's summary of the family: Transfer RNA (tRNA) molecules are approximately 80 nucleotides in length. Their secondary structure includes four short double-helical elements and three loops (D, anti-codon, and T loops). Further hydrogen bonds mediate the characteristic L-shaped molecular structure. tRNAs have two regions of fundamental functional importance: the anti-codon, which is responsible for specific mRNA codon recognition, and the 3' end, to which the tRNAs corresponding amino acid is attached (by aminoacyl-tRNA synthetases). tRNAs cope with the degeneracy of the genetic code in two manners: having more than one tRNA (with a specific anti-codon) for a particular amino acid; and 'wobble' base-pairing, i.e. permitting non-standard base-pairing at the 3rd anti-codon position. Lineage: Bacteria; Bacillati; Bacillota; Clostridia; Lachnospirales; Lachnospiraceae. The record is from RNAcentral.